AUGCUCCAGGGUGCAGCCUCCCUAAGGAUCGGAUGCCCUCAUCUGGGAGCUGUUCUGACCUGGGAUGCUCUGAUGUUCGUGGAAUCCAAGUGGGAACUAACAACGGCGCUUGCACACUCAGAGCUCUCCAGUGAUGAAUGGGUCACACAGCACAGAGCUGAUUGCCAUGGAAGGAAGCAACAGGCAGCAAGGGGCAGCAAUGGACACGCACCAGGCUGCAUUGUGGACAAGCUGAGUGACUCUGGCAACUUAACCUCUUCAAGUCUCACUGAAAAUUAAACAAGAUAAUGAAUUUUAAGCAGCCAAGGACAUAACACAGUGUGCACUCAACAAAAGCAAUAUUACUGGGGCUGGAGAGAUGGUUCAGUGGUGAAGGGCACUUGCUGUUAUUGCAGAGGACCUGGGUUCAAUUCUCAGCGUCCAUGUUGGGUGGCUUACAACUACCUGACUGUCAUUCCAGGUGAUCCAAUGCUCCCUUCUGACCUCCAGAGGCAACUUCACUCGUGCUCAUAACCACACACAGACACCUCUAAACAUAGUUAAAAAUAUAUCUUUAGAAGUGACAUUAAAUGUUGGGAACCACCCAACAAGAACGAACAAAACAAGCCAGGAUAAUGGCAUGGGUCUGGAAUACCACCUUUAGGGAGGUAAUGGUAGGAAGAUGGAGAAUUUGAGAUCAGCCUGGUUUACACAGCAAGUUUAAAGAGGUUAAAGCCUGUCUUGGAAACACAGUGAAACCUUGCCUCAAACUAGCCACCCAACUAAUCAACCAGCCAACCAACUACCUGAAGAGAAUGAAUAAAACAAGCCUUAGUCAAUUCAUAUUUGUUCAUGUUCCUCCUCUCUUCCCUUCUCUUCCUGCCUUCAAUAGCAACAUGACAUCAAACAUGGUCCAUGAACUAAACUGUGGGAGUAGACUUCUGGGACUUUGUGAGAAAACUCCAAAUAAACAAGACAAGAGUCUUGUAAUCUCUACUCCUCCAUAACGUGGUUCUUCUUGGAAUGUGCUUUCGAACCCUCCCAGGUAGAGGGCACAGAAGUGAGUUUACUUCAGAUUAUUCAUUACAACUGGCUAUGUGCUUAUAUGCCUCUAAAGAAAAAAAAAAAAAAGCCUGUGUUUGCGACCUGUGGCUUGUCCUUGUGAUUGUACACUUUACUCAGGUGACUCUUCUUAACAUUCAGAGUACAAACUGUCUGAUGCUCUGAAUAAAGUUGGCUAUUGCAUGCGACUUUAGUAAGGCUCAUUUUUAGGCACUACUUCCCUAUGUUCAUAUUGGCAUGUAGAGUGGCAAGAACAUGACAGAAAAAAGUAGAAAUGACAAUGACAGUCCAUGACUUCAGACACCAGGUCAUGGAAAAUACUCUUAUGCUUUUCUUGCUUUUUACAGGUUUUUGUUGUUGUUGUUGUUGUUGUUUUGAGACAGGGUUUCUCUGUGUAGCUUUAUGGACCAGGCAGGCCUCAAACUCACAGAGAUCCGUCUGCCUCUGCCUUCCUAGAGUGCGGGGAUUAAAGAUGUGCACCACCAGUGCCCAGCUUCUUGUUAUUUUUAAAAAGUGUUUAUUUUAGUCUUUAAGUGUGUGUGUGUGUGUGUGUGUGUGUGUGUAGCUAUGUUGUACACGUAAGUAUAGGUACCCACAGAGGUCAGCAGUGUUGGAUCCCCUGGAUCUGGAGUUACAGGUGGUUGUGAGGUAGUUGAUGUGUGUGCAGGGAACUGAACUUGAGUACUUUGCAAGAGAAGCAAUUGAUUCUAACCACUGAGCCUUCACCCCAGUCCAACUUCUUGCUCUUUUAUUCUGGGGUCACUUUCUUUGGGGGAAACCAGAUGAGAUUUUUAUGAAGACACUCAAGUAGCCCUAAAAAGAGGGCCCAUGUGGUGGGAAAGUGAGGUCUCUUGCCCACAGCCACAUGAGCGUUGCCGUCUUAGAAAUUAAUCCUUUGACUACCUUAGCCUGGACUGGAAGCUUCACUGUAGUCUCAUUUGAGCGCCUGUGCCAACGACCCUUUUAAAUUACUCUGGCAUUCCUGACAUUUGAAACUGUGUGAAGGGGCUGGGGAUGCAGCUAAGUUGCAGAGUGCUGUGGCACACACAGGAGGCCUUGGAUUUGAUUCCUAGCACUAGACAAAAAAAAAAAAAAAGUUGAAGUUGCUAUGCAGCAGUAGAUACAAUGUGCUUCUUUUGGCCCAGGUGCUAUGAUUCUUUUCAGUAAGUUCUAGAUAUUAUUUUUCUUAUAGACCCAUGUCUUUUGACUAAGUUACUCUGUCUGAAGUCAGUGACUUGAAAAGACUGCAAGCCAGUGUA
Molecule: long non-coding RNA, 2300 nt
Filed under: Cricetulus griseus (Chinese hamster)
Lineage: Eukaryota; Metazoa; Chordata; Mammalia; Rodentia; Cricetidae
Description: lncRNA (ENSCGRG00000024643.1)
Source: RNAcentral